This 104-nucleotide non-coding RNA is filed under the name Oceanobacillus oncorhynchi. RNAcentral describes it as "TPP sequence". It matches the Rfam family "TPP riboswitch aptamer (THI element)". From Rfam's summary of the family: Vitamin B(1) in its active form thiamin pyrophosphate (TPP) is an essential coenzyme that is synthesised by coupling of pyrimidine and thiazole moieties in bacteria. The previously detected thiamin-regulatory element, thi box was extended, resulting in a new, highly conserved RNA secondary structure, the THI element, which is widely distributed in eubacteria and also occurs in some archaea. Lineage: Bacteria; Bacillati; Bacillota; Bacilli; Caryophanales; Bacillaceae. The record is from Rfam by way of RNAcentral.
UGGAUCCACUAGGGGUGCUUAUUAAGCUGAGAGAGGUAUAUUGCCUUGACCCUUACCAACCUGAUCUAGUUCGUACUAGCGGAGGGAAGUGGGCGGAUAUGCCU